RNAcentral lists this ribosomal RNA (440 nucleotides) under uncultured bacterium. Its description in RNAcentral is "partial 16S ribosomal RNA". It matches the Rfam family "Bacterial small subunit ribosomal RNA", at positions 338 to 795 of the family's 1533-position model. The record is from RNAcentral.
CCUACGGGUGGCAGCAGUGGGGAAUAUUGCACAAUGGGGGAAACCCUGAUGCAGCGACGCCGCGUGAGUGAAGAAGUAAUUCGUUAUGUAAAGCUCUAUCAGCAGGGAAGAAAAUGACGGUACCUGAGUAAGAAGCCCCGGCUAAAGACGUGCCAGCAGCCGCGGUAAUACGUAGGGGGCAAGCGUUAUCCGGAUUUACUGGGUGGAAAGGGAGCGUAGACGGCAGUGCAAGUCUGGAGUGAAAGGCGGGGGCUCAACCCCCGGACUGCUCUGGAAACUGUACGGCUGGAGUGCAGGAGAGGUAAGUGGAAUUCCUAGUGUAGCGGUGAAAUGCGUAGAUAUUAGGAGGAACACCAGUGGCGAAGGCGGCUUACUGGACUGUAACUGACGUUGAGGCUCGAAAGCGUGGGGAGCAAACAGGAUUAGAUACCCUUGUAGUC